Molecule: ribosomal RNA, 405 nt
Filed under: uncultured bacterium
Lineage: Bacteria
Description: bacterial SSU rRNA
Rfam family: Bacterial small subunit ribosomal RNA
Source: RNAcentral
AACGAACGCUGGCGGCAUGCCUAACACAUGCAAGUCGAACGAGACCUUCGGGUCUAGUGGCGCACGGGUGCGUAACGCGUGGGAACCUGCCCUCAGGUUCGGAAUAACGUCGGGAAACUGACGCUAAUACCGGAUAAUGUCUUCGGACCAAAGAUUUAUUGCCUGGGGAUGGGCCCGCGUUGGAUUAGCUAGUUGGUGGGGUAAAGGCUCACCAAGGCGACGAUCCAUAGCUGGUCUUAGAGGAUGAUCAGCCACACUGGGACUGAGACACGGCCCAGACUCCUACGGGAGGCAGCAGUGGGGAAUAUUGGACAAUGGGCGAAAGCCUGAUCCAGCAAUGCCGCGUGAGUGAUGAAGGCCUUAGGGUUGUAAAGCUCUUUUACCAGGGAUGAUAAUGACAGUACC